GGGCCCGUAGCUCAGCCAGGAUAGAGCACCGGCCUCCGGAGCCGGAGGUCCCGGGUUCAAAUCCCGGCGGGCCCG
Molecule: transfer RNA, 75 nt
Filed under: Desulfurococcaceae archaeon
Lineage: Archaea; Thermoproteati; Thermoproteota; Thermoprotei; Desulfurococcales; Desulfurococcaceae
Description: tRNA-Arg
Rfam family: tRNA
About the family: Transfer RNA (tRNA) molecules are approximately 80 nucleotides in length.
Source: RNAcentral